RNAcentral lists this ribosomal RNA (222 nucleotides) under uncultured bacterium. RNAcentral describes it as "partial 16S ribosomal RNA". It matches the Rfam family "Bacterial small subunit ribosomal RNA", at positions 28 to 248 of the family's 1533-position model. The record is from RNAcentral.
GACGAACGCUGGCGGCGUGCUUAACACAUGCAAGUCGAGCGGUAAGGCCCUUUCGGGGGGUACGACGAGCGGCGAACGGGUGAGUAACACGUGGGUGACCUGCCCUCAGCUCUGGGAGUAAGCCCGGGAAACUGGGUCUAAUACCGGAUAUGACUCCAUGACGCAUGUUGUGGGGUGGAAAGCCUUGUGCGGCUGAGGAUGGGCCCGCGGCCUAUCAGCUUG